Oncorhynchus keta (chum salmon) is the source of this 2781-nucleotide RNA transcript. It is a transcript of the gene named dnaJ homolog subfamily A member 2-like, with no coding region annotated. The record is from RefSeq and is a predicted model, not a curated record. NCBI's taxonomy places the organism in Eukaryota, Metazoa, Chordata, Actinopteri, Salmoniformes, Salmonidae. The transcript has 9 exons.
UGGAGCAUAUCAGCUGACUGACAGCGCGCUGACCCAAAUUGACGCAUUGCGUAUGACGUUUCCACCCGGCUUGUCUUCUCUCGUUUCCUUUCAUCCGCAGGUCUUUCUCUGUGUGUAGCCCUAGAUAGAUAGCAUAAUGGCCAACGUUGUGGAUACCAAGCUAUACGACAUCCUCGGAGUCUCACCCUCCGCUUCCGAAAACGAGCUAAAGAAGGCAUACCGCAAGUUGGCCAAAGAGUACCACCCUGAUAAGAACCCAGAUGCCGGGGACAAGUUUAAGGAGAUCAGUUUUGCUUAUGAGGUGCUGACCAAUCCAGAGAAGAAGGAGCUGUAUGAUCGCUAUGGAGAGCAGGGGCUGCGGGAGGGAGGUGGUGGAGGGGCUGGCAUGGACGACAUCUUCUCCCACAUCUUUGGAGGGGGGCUGUUUGGCUUUAUGGGGGGGCAGGGACGUGGAGGGGGGAGGACGCAACGGGGGACGCAGGAGAGGAGAGGAUAUGGUGCACCCCCUCAAAGUAUCACUGGAAGACCUCUAUAAUGGUAAAACAACCAAACUACAGCUCAGCAAGAAUGUCCUGUGUGCUUCCUGCAAUGGUGCGGGGGGUAAGGCAGGGGCGGUGCAGAAGUGUGUGGCCUGCAGAGGGAGAGGCAUGAGGAUCAUGAUCAGACAGCUGGCUCCUGGCAUGGUCCAACAGAUGCAGUCAGUCUGCACAGACUGCAACGGAGAGGGGGAGGUGAUCAGUGAGAAGGACCGUUGUAAGAAGUGUGAGGGUCGUAAGGUGAACAAGGAGACAAAGCUGUUGGAGGUCCAUGUUGAUAAAGGCAUGAAACACGGCCAGAAGAUCAGCUUCACAGGAGAGGCUGACCAGGCCCCAGGCACUGAGCCUGGAGACAUACUACUUGUCCUACAGGAAAAGGAGCAUGAGGGGUUCCGUCGUGACGGCCAUGACCUUCACAUGACGCAGCGUAUCGGCCUGGUGGAGGCUCUGUGUGGCUUCCAACUGGCAGUCACACACCUCGACGGACGCCAGCUCGCUGUCAAAUAUCCCCCCGGCAAGGUUAUAGAGCCAGGUUGUAUCCGGGUGGUGAAGGGAGAGGGGAUGCCUCAGUACAGGAACCCAUUUGAGAAGGGAGAUCUGUUCAUCAAGUUUGACGUCCAGUUCCCUGAAAACAACUGGAUCAGUCCUGAGAAACUCUCUGAGUUGGAGGAUCUGCUGCCUGGGCGUGCGGAGGUUCCAGUUAUCUCAUCGGAGGCGGAAGAGGUUGACCUCCAGGACUGUGAGGUCAGAGGUCAGGGGUCAGCGGGGGCCAGGAGAGAGGCCUACAACGACAGCUCUGAUGAGGAGGGUGGACCACAUGGCCCAGGGGUACAGUGUGCCCACCAGUAGACUGAAUACAUACACACCCUUCUCUCACUGGUCUGUGCGCCCAUCUGUUGAGUACUCUGAGGGAAGGGCACCCCUCCACUGCCCCUCCCCCAGGUCCCAUCAGGACCCUCAAUCCUCUUCAUUCCUCCAUCAGCCAAUCAGUGUGUGUGUUUGAGUGUGGUCAGCAGGCUGUGAUGGAUGUUUAGUGGCCAUUUGACAUCUUAGGUUUGUAGGCUCUACAUCUGUCUGGAAACGUUGUCAUUUGGGAACCUUGUGUACAAAAUGAAAAUAUUGUCUAGUGAAAUUAUUAAUUUAUCUUCUAACAGGCUUCAGUGUCGUAGUCUAGUCUUAGUCACACACCAGCGCAUGCUGAAAACACAUUUAACACAGACCUACCAUAGCCCCUGGUCUACACAGCGGCCUGCUGAGCCACACAGAAAGCUAUUGUAUUGCUUCCUGUAAGCUCAAACGUCUCCCAUCGCUGAGGCACCUCGGGACUACCUGGUCAGAUUUCUCUCCACCAAUAAAAUAGCUUGAAUCUUUAGGCUUAUUUACCUUUGUCAGAAAACAACAUGUUUCUCUUCUGUGUGAGGAUUGUGCUUUUGCGCAUGCGUGCGUGUGACCGCAGAGCUUGUCUUGAGUAGCAUACUCUAAACUGAGUGUGUGUGUGCGUGUGUGAUUUUAGGAGCUGGGUGUGUGUGAGCUGCUGUAGAAUGUUCUGGCUUCUCUGCUCAUAGCGGUGUGUGUUGUGUGUAUCGCCAAUGUGAAUGGAGACCUCGUUUUAUGUUCAAUUAAAGAUAAAAACAAUUGAAUGUGUUGAACUUCUCUCCCACCUUGACCAUGUAACAUUUAGCCCCUAACCUCUGACCUGUGCAUUAUACACAACUUUCCAUGCCAGUACAACUGUCACACAUGCCAUCUCAGCUUCCAUUCCCUUAGCUCUGUAAAUACCAACCCCAGCCCCUGUGCACGGUCACAUCUCAAUACUCUACAGUUGCCUCCUUCCCUCCUAUCCAAAUUCCUGUUCUUCAUCUGCACUGAUGGGACAAGACCGCAUGGUCAUGGUCAGUUGGCACAAAUGUUUUGGAACACUACCUGGAAAAACAAUAAUUUCCUGUUUGAACAUUUUGCAUUAGUGUGCACUAUUGAACAUGAUCCAGGUGAAAGCAGCAUGGUUUACUAGGCCACACAUGGAUUUCCUUGCUCAUGUCGUUCUGUCAGAUCAGUACAGAUGGAGUGGAUAGGAGGCUACUUUAAACUGUAGAGAUGUAGUCAUCUGACUGUCACUGUAUAUAUGCUAUAUAGGCCACUGGAGGGACACGCUACAGACAGGGGCUUUAUUUAGUAAAUGAUGUUAUUAUUGUUGAUGAUGCUCAUGUUUGUUAGGAUGACAAUUAAACUGUAUAAUAAACUGUCA